This is a long non-coding RNA of Arabidopsis thaliana (thale cress), 203 nucleotides long. RefSeq annotates it as other RNA. The transcript has a single exon. The record is from RefSeq. Lineage: Eukaryota; Viridiplantae; Streptophyta; Magnoliopsida; Brassicales; Brassicaceae.
UUUUGCCGGUCAUUUGAUGGGUAGAGGAAAAAUGUUUAGCCGUUGAAGAUUGGAGAAAAGAUAAAACCGGAAGCAGCCGGUGAAUGGACAUUGCCAUGUGAACAUUACUGACACUAGACCGUGUUGGGUCUUGAACCAUCUCUACUUCGAACUCCUCACUUUGACUCGUACAAGUCUAACUCUUCUUUUAACUCUCUUUAUCC